This 253-nucleotide ribosomal RNA is filed under the name uncultured bacterium. RNAcentral describes it as "partial 16S ribosomal RNA". It matches the Rfam family "Bacterial small subunit ribosomal RNA", at positions 524 to 776 of the family's 1533-position model. The record is from RNAcentral.
UACGAAGGGGGCUGGCGUUGUUCGGAAUCACUGGGCGUAAAGGGUGCGUAGGCGGGUCUUUAAGUCAGGGGUGAAAUCCUGGAGCUCAACUCCAGAACUGCCUUUGAUACUGAAGAUCUUGAGUCCGGGAGAGGUGAGUGGAACUGCGAGUGUAGAGGUGAAAUUCGUAGAUAUUCGCAAGAACACCAGUGGCGAAGGCGGCUCACUGGCCCGGUACUGACGCUGAGGCACGAAAGCGUGGGGAGCAAACAGG